GGGGAAUAUUGCACAAUGGAGGAAACUCUGAUGCAGCGACGCCGCGUGAGGGAAGAAGGUCUUCGGAUUGUAAACCUCUGUCUUCAGGGACGAUAAUGACGGUACCUGAGGAGGAAGCACCGGCUAACUACGUGCCAGCAGCCGCGGUAAAACGUAGGGUGCAAGCGUUGUCCGGAAUUACUGGGUGUAAAGGGAGCGCAGGCGGGAAGGUAAGUUGGAUGUUUAAUCUACGGGCUCAACCCGUAUCAGCAUUCAAAACUAUUUUUCUUGAGUAGUGCAGAGGUAGGCGGAAUUCCCGGUGUAGCGGUGGAAUGCGUAGAUAUCGGGAGGAACACCAGUGGCGAAGGCGGCCUACUGGGCACUAACUGACGCUGAGGCUCGAAAGCAUGGGUAGCAAAC
Molecule: ribosomal RNA, 399 nt
Filed under: uncultured bacterium
Lineage: Bacteria
Description: bacterial SSU rRNA
Rfam family: Bacterial small subunit ribosomal RNA
Source: RNAcentral